AAGUUGGGGAGUAGCAUGGCUCAAGCUGUCGGUUGGUUCAUCGCGCGUAAUGUUUCAUAUCUAUGGGCCGUGUGUAAGGUAUUUAGGUAUCCGAGGUAACGGCUUCCAAGUUCACAAGUUCCUCAGGUGUAAUGUGGAGGUGUUCAAGUUCUUGAGAUGCAGGUGUGUACUUACCGUCUUCAGAAAGGAGAUGAGAGGUUUCUGUUCAAAAGGUCAAGCAGAAAGACGUGUGUGGAGAAAGCAGUGCAAUGUUCAUUUGUGGGUUAGGCUGAAAUAUGUCAAAUUGAUGGUCGCACAAGCAUUUCAAUCAUAUCUGCUCGAUAUUCGAUAAUGUUGUCCUCUAUUCCCUGCGCAACCAAAGCACGAGCCAUUGUUCCCUCUCAACUCUCACGGGCAAAACUGGAAAGUUGGGGAGUAGCAUGGUUAAAGCUGUCGGUUGGUUCAUCGCGUGUAAUGUUUCAUAUCUAUGGGCUGUUUAUGAGGUAUUUAGGCAUCAAGGAUAACGGCUUCCAAGUUCAAAAGUUCCUCAGGUGUAAUGUGGAGGUGUUCAAAGUUCUUGAGAUGCAGGUGUGUCCUCGCGGUCUACAGAAAGAUGAUGAGAGGUUUCUGUUCAAGAGGACAAGCAGAUGAACGUGUGUGGAGAAAGCAGUGCAAUAUUCAGUUGUGGGUGAGGCUUAAAUAUGUCAAAUUGAUGAUCGCACAAGCAAUUCAAUAAAUUCAGGUCGAUAC
This is a long non-coding RNA of Nematostella vectensis (starlet sea anemone), 729 nucleotides long. RefSeq lists it as uncharacterized. The transcript is spliced from 2 exons. The record is from RefSeq and is a predicted model, not a curated record. NCBI's taxonomy places the organism in Eukaryota, Metazoa, Cnidaria, Anthozoa, Actiniaria, Edwardsiidae.